UACGGAGGGAGCUAGCGUUGUUCGGAAUUACUGGGCGUAAAGCGCGCGUAGGCGGCUUUGUAAGUUAGAGGUGAAAGCCCGGAGCUCAACUCCGGAACUGCCUUUAAAACUGCAUCGCUUGAAUCCAGGAGAGGUGAGUGGAAUUCCGAGUGUAGAGGUGAAAUUCGUAGAUAUUCGGAAGAACACCAGUGGCGAAGGCGGCUCACUGGACUGGUAUUGACGCUGAGACGCGAAAGCGUGGGGAGCAAACAGG
Molecule: ribosomal RNA, 253 nt
Filed under: uncultured bacterium
Lineage: Bacteria
Description: partial 16S ribosomal RNA
Rfam family: Bacterial small subunit ribosomal RNA
Source: RNAcentral